UCACAAUAAUCAUUGAAUGGUUUUUUAUUUUAACAUUUUGCAAUGCAAAUGAGAAUAAUGAUACACAAUUGAUCAUUCCCUCUAAUAUCAUGAAUCAUAU
Etheostoma cragini (Arkansas darter) is the source of this 100-nucleotide long non-coding RNA. RefSeq lists it as uncharacterized. Lineage: Eukaryota; Metazoa; Chordata; Actinopteri; Perciformes; Percidae. The transcript is spliced from 4 exons. The record is from RefSeq and is a predicted model, not a curated record.